Molecule: ribosomal RNA, 492 nt
Filed under: uncultured bacterium
Lineage: Bacteria
Description: partial 16S ribosomal RNA
Rfam family: Bacterial small subunit ribosomal RNA
Source: RNAcentral
AGUGAACGCUGGCGGUAGGCCUAACACAUGCAAGUCGAACGGCAGCACAGUAAGAGCUUGCUCUUACGGGUGGCGAGUGGCGGACGGGUGAGGAAUACAUCGGAAUCUACUUUUUCGUGGGGGAUAACGUAGGGAAACUUACGCUAAUACCGCAUACGACCUACGGGUGAAAGCAGGGGAUCUUCGGACCUUGCGCGAUUGAAUGAGCCGAUGUCGGAUUAGCUAGUUGGCGGGGUAAAGGCCCACCAAGGCGACGAUCCGUAGCUGGCCUGAGAGGAUGAUCAGCCACACUGGAACUGAGACACGGUCCAGACUCCUACGGGAGGCAGCAGUGGGGAAUAUUGGACAAUGGGCGCAAGCCUGAUCCAGCCAUACCGCGUGGGUGAAGAAGGCCUUCGGGUUGUAAAGCCCUUUUGUUGGGAAAGAAAAGCAGCAGGUUAAUACCCCGCUGUUCUGACGGUACCCAAAGAAUAAGCACCGGCUAACUUCGCG